UAGAGUUUGAUCAUGGCUCAGAUUGAACGCUGGCGGCAGGCCUAACACAUGCAAGUCGAGCGGUAACAGGAAGGAAGCUUGCUUUCUUUGCUGACGAGCGGCGGACGGGUGAGUAAUGCCUGGGAAAUUGCCCUGAUGUGGGGGAUAACCAUUGGAAACGAUGGCUAAUACCGCAUGAUGCCUACGGGCCAAAGAGGGGGACCUUCGGGCCUCUCGCGUCAGGAUAUGCCCAGGUGGGAUUAGCUAGUUGGUGAGGUAAUGGCUCACCAAGGCGACGAUCCCUAGCUGGUCUGAGAGGAUGAUCAGCCACACUGGAACUGAGACACGGUCCAGACUCCUACGGGAGGCAGCAGUGGGGAAUAUUGCACAAUGGGCGCAAGCCUGAUGCAGCCAUGCCGCGUGUAUGAAGAAGGCCUUCGGGUUGUAAAGUACUUUCAGUGGUGAGGAAGGGAGUGUGGUUAAUAGCCAUAUUCUUUGACGUUAGCCACAGAAGACGACCGAUCC
RNAcentral lists this ribosomal RNA (504 nucleotides) under Vibrio sp. M9-C10. RNAcentral describes it as "bacterial SSU rRNA". It matches the Rfam family "Bacterial small subunit ribosomal RNA", at positions 1 to 498 of the family's 1533-position model. The record is from RNAcentral. Lineage: Bacteria; Pseudomonadati; Pseudomonadota; Gammaproteobacteria; Vibrionales; Vibrionaceae.